RNAcentral lists this non-coding RNA (29 nucleotides) under Rattus norvegicus (Norway rat). Lineage: Eukaryota; Metazoa; Chordata; Mammalia; Rodentia; Muridae. The record is from RNAcentral.
UGCCGAUCACGUGACCCGACUGACGGAGC